Molecule: small RNA, 164 nt
Filed under: Chelonoidis abingdonii (Abingdon island giant tortoise)
Lineage: Eukaryota; Metazoa; Chordata; Testudines; Testudinidae
Description: TUC338 (ENSCABG00000011507.1)
Source: RNAcentral
CUGAUAACCCAGGAAACUGAAGUCCUUUAUUCAUUCACAGAGCAGGUACAACAGUGGUGCAAGCUUCCCCACACUGUCCCUUCUGAAAUAUGACUCUAUUUUGACCACCUCUAGGAAUGAGAGAGUAGCUCAGUUUCCAUAACCCAUUCAAAUACUUGGCUUCU